Molecule: ribosomal RNA, 427 nt
Filed under: uncultured bacterium
Lineage: Bacteria
Description: bacterial SSU rRNA
Rfam family: Bacterial small subunit ribosomal RNA
Source: RNAcentral
UGGGGAAUAUUGGACAAUGGGGGGAACCCUGAUCCAGCAAUGCCGCGUGUGUGAAGAUGGCCUGAGGGUUGUAAAGCACUUUCAGUGGGGAGGAGGCUUGUUAGGUUAAGAGCUAAAUAAGUGGACGUUACCCACAGAAGAAGCACCGGCUAACUCCGUGCCAGCAGCCGCGGUAAUACGGAGGGUGCAAGCGUUAAUCGGAAUUACUGGGCGUAAAGAGUGCGUAGGCGGUUUGGUAAGUUAUCUGUGAAAUCCCUGGGCUCAACCUGGGCAGGUCAGAUAAUACUGCUGAACUCGAGUAUGGGAGAGGGUAGUGGAAUUUCCGGUGUAGCGGUGAAAUGCGUAGAGAUCGGAAGGAACACCAGUGGCGAAGGCGGCUACCUGGCCUAAUACUGACACUGAGGCACGAAAGCGUGGGGAGCAAACA